This 253-nucleotide ribosomal RNA is filed under the name uncultured bacterium. RNAcentral describes it as "partial 16S ribosomal RNA". It matches the Rfam family "Bacterial small subunit ribosomal RNA", at positions 524 to 776 of the family's 1533-position model. The record is from RNAcentral.
UACGUAGGGGGCCAGCGUUGCUCGGAAUUACUGGGCGUAAAGGGUUCGUAGGUGGUGCGGCAAGUUGGGAGUGAAAUCUCUGGGCUUAACUCAGAGGCUGCUUUCAAAACUGCCGCGCUCGAGUGCGAGAGAGGUCAGUGGAAUUGCAGGGGUAGCGGUGAAAUGCGUAGAUAUCUGCAGGAACACCCGUGGCGAAGGCGGCUGACUGGAUCGCAACUGACACUGAGGAACGAAAGCUAGGGGAGCAAACAGG